GAUUAAGUUAUUAAGGGCGCACGGUGGAUGCCUUGGCACUAGAAGCCGAUGAAGGACGUUACUAACGACGAUAUGCUUUGGGGAGCUGUAAGUAAGCUUUGAUCCAGAGAUUUCCGAAUGGGGAAACCCAGCAUGAGUUAUGUCAUGUUAUCGAUAUGUGAAUACAUAGCAUAUCAGAAGGCACACCCGGAGAACUGAAACAUCUUAGUACCCGGAGGAAGAGAAAGAAAAUUCGAUUCCCUUAGUAGCGGCGAGCGAAACGGGAAGAGCCCAAACCAACAAGCUUGCUUGUUGGGGUUGUAGGACACUCUAUACGGAGUUACAAAGGACGACAUUAGACGAAUCAUCUGGAAAGAUGAAUCAAAGAAGGUAAUAAUCCUGUAGUCGAAAAUGUUGUCUCUCUUGAGUGGAUCCUGAGUACGACGGAGCACGUGAAAUUCCGUCGGAAUCUGGGAGGACCAUCUCCUAAGGCUAAAUACUCUCUAGUGACCGAUAGUGAACCAGUACCGUGAGGGAAAGGUGAAAAGCACCCCGGAAGGGGAGUGAAAUAGAACCUGAAACCGUGUGCUUACAAGUAGUCAGAGCCCGUUAAUGGGUGAUGGCGUGCCUUUUGUAGAAUGAACCGGCGAGUUACGAUUUGAUGCAAGGUUAAGCAGUAAAUGUGGAGCCGUAGCGAAAGCGAGUCUGAAUAGGGCGUUUAGUAUUUGGUCGUAGACCCGAAACCAGGUGAUCUACCCUUGGUCAGGUUGAAGUUCAGGUAACACUGAAUGGAGGACCGAACCGACUUACGUUGAAAAGUGAGCGGAUGAACUGAGGGUAGCGGAGAAAUUCCAAUCGAACCUGGAGAUAGCUGGUUCUCUCCGAAAUAGCUUUAGGGCUAGCCUCAAGUGAUGAUUAUUGGAGGUAGAGCACUGUUUGGACGAGGGGCCCCUCUCGGGUUACCGAAUUCAGACAAACUCCGAAUGCCAAUUAAUUUAACUUGGGAGUCAGAACAUGGGUGAUAAGGUCCGUGUUCGAAAGGGAAACAGCCCAGACCACCAGCUAAGGUCCCAAAAUAUAUGUUAAGUGGAAAAGGAUGUGGCGUUGCCCAGACAACUAGGAUGUUGGCUUAGAAGCAGCCAUCAUUUAAAGAGUGCGUAAUAGCUCACUAGUCGAGUGACACUGCGCCGAAAAUGUACCGGGGCUAAACAUAUUACCGAAGCUGUGGAUUGUCCUUUGGACAAUGGUAGGAGAGCGUUCUAAGGGCGUUGAAGCAUGAUCGUAAGGACAUGUGGAGCGCUUAGAAGUGAGAAUGCCGGUGUGAGUAGCGAAAGACGGGUGAGAAUCCCGUCCACCGAUUGACUAAGGUUUCCAGAGGAAGGCUCGUCCGCUCUGGGUUAGUCGGGUCCUAAGCUGAGGCCGACAGGCGUAGGCGAUGGAUAACAGGUUGAUAUUCCUGUACCACCUAUAAUCGUUUUAAUCGAUGGGGGGACGCAGUAGGAUAGGCGAAGCGUGCGAUUGGAUUGCACGUCUAAGCAGUAAGGCUGAGUAUUAGGCAAAUCCGGUACUCGUUAAGGCUGAGCUGUGAUGGGGAGAAGACAUUGUGUCUUCGAGUCGUUGAUUUCACACUGCCGAGAAAAGCCUCUAGAUAGAAAAUAGGUGCCCGUACCGCAAACCGACACAGGUAGUCAAGAUGAGAAUUCUAAGGUGAGCGAGCGAACUCUCGUUAAGGAACUCGGCAAAAUGACCCCGUAACUUCGGGAGAAGGGGUGCUCUUUAGGGUUAACGCCCAGAAGAGCCGCAGUGAAUAGGCCCAAGCGACUGUUUAUCAAAAACACAGGUCUCUGCUAAACCGUAAGGUGAUGUAUAGGGGCUGACGCCUGCCCGGUGCUGGAAGGUUAAGAGGAGUGGUUAGCUUCUGCGAAGCUACGAAUCGAAGCCCCAGUAAACGGCGGCCGUAACUAUAACGGUCCUAAGGUAGCGAAAUUCCUUGUCGGGUAAGUUCCGACCCGCACGAAAGGCGUAACGAUUUGGGCACUGUCUCAACGAGAGACUCGGUGAAAUCAUAGUACCUGUGAAGAUGCAGGUUACCCGCGACAGGACGGAAAGACCCCGUGGAGCUUUACUGUAGCCUGAUAUUGAAAUUCGGCACAGCUUGUACAGGAUAGGUAGGAGCCUUUGAAACGUGAGCGCUAGCUUACGUGGAGGCGCUGGUGGGAUACUACCCUAGCUGUGUUGGCUUUCUAACCCGCACCACUUAUCGUGGUGGGAGACAGUGUCAGGCGGGCAGUUUGACUGGGGCGGUCGCCUCCUAAAAGGUAACGGAGGCGCUCAAAGGUUCCCUCAGAAUGGUUGGAAAUCAUUCAUAGAGUGUAAAGGCAUAAGGGAGCUUGACUGCGAGACCUACAAGUCGAGCAGGGUCGAAAGACGGACUUAGUGAUCCGGUGGUUCCGCAUGGAAGGGCCAUCGCUCAACGGAUAAAAGCUACCCCGGGGAUAACAGGCUUAUCUCCCCCAAGAGUUCACAUCGACGGGGAGGUUUGGCACCUCGAUGUCGGCUCAUCGCAUCCUGGGGCUGUAGUCGGUCCCAAGGGUUGGGCUGUUCGCCCAUUAAAGCGGUACGCGAGCUGGGUUCAGAACGUCGUGAGACAGUUCGGUCCCUAUCCGUCGUGGGCGUAGGAAAUUUGAGAGGAGCUGUCCUUAGUACGAGAGGACCGGGAUGGACAUACCUCUGGUGUACCAGUUGUCGUGCCAACGGCAUAGCUGGGUAGCUAUGUGUGGACGGGAUAAGUGCUGAAAGCAUCUAAGCAUGAAGCCCCCCUCAAGAUGAGAUUUCCCAACUUCGGUUAUAAGAU
This 2833-nucleotide ribosomal RNA is filed under the name Staphylococcus aureus. RNAcentral's name for it is "partial 23S ribosomal RNA". It matches the Rfam family "Bacterial large subunit ribosomal RNA". The record is from RNAcentral. Lineage: Bacteria; Bacillati; Bacillota; Bacilli; Caryophanales; Staphylococcaceae.